Long non-coding RNA from Branchiostoma belcheri (Belcher's lancelet), 689 nucleotides. RefSeq lists it as uncharacterized. The record is from RefSeq and is a predicted model, not a curated record. The transcript has 2 exons. Lineage: Eukaryota; Metazoa; Chordata; Leptocardii; Amphioxiformes; Branchiostomatidae.
UUCUUUCAAGGGAAAAAGUCUUUCUGUCUUCCCAAGUUGUUUUUUUUUUAAAUCAGUUUCAUCUCUUCUUGGUAGAGGAUGAAAUUUUUUUUGCUCAUGACUGUCCCACUUUUUUUUACCCCAAGCAAGCAAGUCAGGGUUUGCUUGAGUCUUUGUAUAUUCAUGAAAUACAUUUGUACUCGCCUGCUGACUGCUUUUACAUUUGUAUAUGUGUGCAGAAGGUAAUUGGCCAUUGUUUGUACCCCUUUUCUGCUCUAAUGUUUUAUUGUUGUUCCCAUUUGGAAGCGUUAAUUUUUCUGAUGGAGUGAAUCAUUUUACACGGAGGUGUGAAUCAGCCCUAUUGACGGUGCCUGCAUGACCUUCCCUCCCUUUUGAUGAUGCGUAAAAUCCAUUUCAUUCAGACUUCUAUUGAAGUUCUAAUGUCUGCUUUGAUAAAGAAUGGGGGUAAUUAUCACCAUGAAAAAUGGCUAUUAUAUGCCCCUACAUAAUGUCCUUGGUCAUAUAUACUUGAGGUUUAUUGUACCAUCUUUAUCUUACAUUCUAGCAAUAUAAGGAAUCAUGAAAUAUUGAAGCAAUGAUUGAAGGUCUUGAGGUACAUUUUUCGAGGUAGGGGAGCAUAAUGUUGUUAAUUCGAGCAAAGAGGUUCUAUUCUCUAUCAAACCUCUUGCUUCUAGAAAAUAAAUUGCUCU